This is a long non-coding RNA of Patella vulgata (common limpet), 802 nucleotides long. RefSeq lists it as uncharacterized. The record is from RefSeq and is a predicted model, not a curated record. Lineage: Eukaryota; Metazoa; Mollusca; Gastropoda; Patellidae. The transcript has 3 exons.
UGUCGGCUUUGAUGUUGUUUAGUAUAUAAACAUUACUGGUGUGUAGAAAGAAUAGUAGCAAUAUUUAACCAAUAUUUUUGUCUGAAUCUCUGCUGUGGAUACAGAAUAAGAUGAACACUAUGUGCUUUUCAGUUGGUUUUGUCUUGUUGGUAACAUUACACUCUGUGUUGGGAGGAUAUGGUUCUGCUUCACAUGGUCUGUCAGGAGGAGGUGGUUACUAUAGCAGCAUGUAUCCAAGCAUGUCGAGUUACAGCAUGUAUCCAAGUAUGAUGAGUUACAGCAUGUAUCCAAGUAUGAGUUACAGUUCGUAUCCAAGUAUGAUGAGUUAUAGUUCGUAUCCAAGUAUGAUGGGCGGAUAUGGGAUGAGCGGAUAUGGAAUGGGCGGAUAUGGGAUGAGCGGAUAUGGAAUGGGCGGUGGAUAUGGUAUGGGCGGUGGAUAUGGUAUGGGCGGUGGAUACGGAUACGGCAGUGGCAGUUGGUAUGGUAAAUGAGGAUCUACAGUUAACUCACGUCACGCGAGUCCAAAAUUUCAACUAGUAUAAAUCAUGUACGCUUGGCACAUUGCCCAUACCAUUAUUUGAACCAUUAUUUGAAAUAAUGGUACGCCAACAUCAAAGGAUGACGUCCCAUUAUAUAUACCAUUAUCAUAUUUUCCAGAAUCUACAGUUAACUCACGAAACCAAGAUGUUAUUAACAUAUAUAAUUACACCUUUUUUCUUUGAUAUUUUAUAAUAUCACAAAUACCAAAUAUAUUGUUGAUUUGAUAUUUAAAUGAUUAAAUGCUAAUUGUGUUUUUAGAUAA